UACUGAUGCAGUCAGAAACUCUCCAACCUCUUUGCAACCUGCAGCUUUGGCUUUUUUAUCCAGCGCCCAGCAAAGUAACUUUAAAAAAUAAAAGGACCAAUAUUUCAGUGUAAAAAUGCUCAGCAGGUGAUCAGAAAUGACGUCAUAACAGGAAACCAGAAUAAUCCAGGAGAUCAUUUCCAUGGAUGGAAAGAAUGAGAUCAAUAAGUUAUUGAUUUCCAGUAUUGAUCAAGAAGAAAGCUGAAAGAAACCAAAUGUGUUGAUCACUCAGAACAAAGAAAUGCAGCUUUAAUAGUUUGGAUCAAUGAAAGAUUGAUGCUCAGUUCUCUUCACAUCAUGUUGAAGCCGUUUGGAAAGAAAAGUGGGCUCAGAGUCGGCAGAAGAAAAGGCCAAAUAUUGAUGAAGCAGGAAGAGCAGUUUGGGAUCAGAUCCAGAUCAGAUGUUUGUGUGUCUCGGUGUUCUGGACUGAUGUUGAACAUGUGGAGCUGAGAUUCAUUUACAGAACAGAGAUGAAAACAUUUGAAAGCUUCUUCUCUUCAAAGUUCAGCUUUAGAUCCAGAAAUGUAAAAGUCCAGCAGCUCAACACUGACAGGAGACAUUACUGUGAAGCAGCACAUGGACAAAACAAUCCCAGCAGCAUCAAGACUCUGAUCAUCUCCAACAGCUUCCUGUGUUUCUGUCCCCUGUUAGCUGCUGCUCUCAUCUGCUUCUGUCAAUAAAGUUAUUCAAACUGCUGCUGCUGUCUGUGCAGCUCAUGUUCUGCUUUGUUGUCCUCUCAGUCUGUCAGGUGGAGGUGGAGGAGGGGGCGGAGUCUGUCCUGCUGCCCUGCAAGACCACAGACAACCUGCCUGAGGACGCUAAGUGUGGUGGAUCCACUAUGAUCCCUAUAAGACGGUCCACAUGUAUCAGAACGGCUCUGACCAACAGGACCAGGUUUACAGAGACCGAACAGAGAUGAAGGAAGACCUGCUGAGAACUGGAGACCUCAGUCUGACCCUGAAAUCCCCCACAGACAGAGACGGAGGACGAUACUGGUGUGUCUAGAAGAAGGAGACCUCAUGAGAGGAAAUCAGUUGUUCUCAGGGUCAAAGAGAGAAGCAGGAACAGAAGCAGCUCCGCUGAUCCAACUCCUCUGAUGGCCGAUCAAUCUGUUUGAUCUUUGAUCAUUGAUCCGAUCUGACUCUGGAUCAGAGAGAAAAUGGAGGUGAAGCAGCUGAUGGAGGACGGAUGAAGACAGGAGGACGCUUUGUCAGCUUCUUCUUCACUCUGACUCCUCCUACUGACUCUCACACACAGUCUACACACUCACUAUUGAUUCCUGCUGAUCAGUGAUGUCAGAGUGAGGUCAGCGUGAUGUCACAUGGCUUGAACGGGCGUGUUUCCUGUGAACCUCCCAGCGGCUGGAUAACAGCUGCGGCUCUCUGGAUAUUUGUGGCUCGUUCUAAUGCGUGCAGUCAAACAAACUUUAUUUCUACAGACACAGAGAAGUCAGCAGCUGCAGGAAAUCAGAACCACUGACAGGAAGUUAAGAGUCAAGUUAAACCACAUGUCAGAACUUUCUACAGCAGCAGGAUUUAGAAGAUGCUGGAAGCUGCUGUCUUUAGAUUUUGGACCCGUCACAAUUUGUCACAUUUUCUGAAGCCACAACAAAUCUUGUUGAAAGGAAACAGUUGAUUGAAGGUCCAGUUUCAAACGAAGAGUCAAAGCUUCUCUUUGUGUCGACUCCUUUAAUGAGAACAUUGAAAAGGACUCGAGUCCAAGUCUCAAGUGUCCAGCUCAGAUUAUUCCAGCACCAACCCUGGCAGGAUGCAAGUUAAACAGAAAGCAACACAUUUAGUGACAGAACAGAAAGCAGCCAGCUGUUAAAAUGGACUCAGAGAAUGAAGACACAAUAAGAUUUGAUUCAGUCAGACUUUCACAAGAACAAAGGUUUGUUCAGCCUGAACACAAAUGUGGUCUGUAGUGUUUUUGUAGUCCCUGUUUAUUCAGCGCCUCUUCCUCCUCACUACACACUGGAUCAAAGCACAGCAGUUAAACCCAGAGGCCUCCAGUGGACCUGGUUCAGGCCUCUGAAACAUCUGGACUCUGUGAUCUUUGUCUUCCAGCGUUGACAUUUGGAGCAGGUAUAAACAGACGUCACGUGAUCUAGUUUGUUUGAAGCGUACCGAGUCCUUCAGACGUUGAUCUCAGAACUCAGCAGAAACUCCACUUCUUUAGUCUCUUUCCUCCAGGUUCUGGUUUUUCUCGUCUCUCUGUUCAUUCCUCAAAGAUAAAGCUGGAUUUUUCAUUGAAGCUGAAACAUUUCAGUAAAUAUGCCAGAUUUAGCCAGAAGGCUGUUUUUCAUCUGUAGUCAGUACAAGUCAACACAAAACAGACAACAUAGUAAAACCAACCCAGGGACCAGUAGACUCCAGCACAAUAUACUAGCAGUCAUUAUGUUCCAGUACACAGGUCAUGAACUGUUACCAGAGGAAAUCAGAAGCUUACAGUAAUCUGUUGGACUCAAAGAUGUUAUGUUAUUAAAGUGCUGUUUAUGCACUCAGAUCUAAUUCAAUAAUCUGGUUUCCUGCAGCGGUUUGAAGCCAAAAUAAACAUUUUGCAAAAUGAUGCUGAUUUGUUGAACAUAUGAAUUCCUGCUCUGUCAGGUCUGUCUUCAAGAUGACAAGCAAACAUCUUUUAAAACGCUUGUUUUCUAAAUGGAGUUCUGCUCAGUCAGGGCGAUGCUAUGCUAACUUGUUUCAAGUAUGACGACGGCUGGAAUCAUCACAGAUUCAUUUUCAGACCUCACCAGGUAGUUCAGCUUCCCGCCUCUCUUUUCUCCCAGCAUCCUCCUGUCUCGUCUGUAGAAAUAUGAACUAGUGGUCCACGCGGUCCUUGUGGUCCGGACCGGUUGCCGAGGGGUCCGUUGCUGGUCCAAAGCCACUGCACACCUCCUCUGUAUAAUAAAAGCUUUAUUUGUAGAGCACUUUUCAACACGGGGAACAAAGAGCUUUAAAACAAUCCAUCUGUCAAUAAAGGAAAAUAAAUGAGGCGUCACACAGUGAAAGCUUUUUGUAGAAAUGUGUCUAAGAAGUGAGAUGAAACCAGGAGCAGACUCUGAGCCUGUAGGGGCCCUGACAGCAGAGACCCUGUCCCCUUUGGCUUUGAGCCUAGACUUUGGAGCAGUUAGCAGAGCCCUACUAGAGGAUCUCAGUCUGCGUCCUGGCUCAUAUGGGGAUAAAAGCUCAGAGAAGGUGCGUGCCCAUGUCUGGCCUUAAAAGUGAUCAGAAGGAUUUUAAAGUGCGUCCUAAAAGAAACAGGAAGCAGGACGCUCACACUGGGCUGAUGUGCUCACAUUUCCUGCAGCGAGCGGCAGCAUUUUGGACCAACUGUAGGUGAUGAACUGAUUUCUGACUCAGACAGGUAUAUAGGGAGGAUAUCGGUCUGCGGCUGAAAUGAAAGACUUCACCUCGGCCGCAUUUCUCAAAUGAUAAAAACAGAACAAGCUUACAUGAGGUUCAAAACACAAGUCCUAGUUUCUGGCCGAGCUUCUUGUUCGCUUGGGUUUGUCCUGAUUUCAGAAAGGAACGAACAUCACAGAGGAAGACGCAGAGAUGUUGAUCCUCACAGGAUGCAGAAGAGGUCUUGAACUCUGGCCAAAACCUGGACCAAGAUGAUAUGGGCACCCAUUUUAAGCUCUUUCUAGGCUUGUUGUAUAUUUCAUAAUGGCAUAUUGCAUCUUUGUCCAACAAAUGGGGCGUUCUGGUAUUUUGAAGGAUGAACAGGAGGUCCAUACUUCACAAAACUGCCUGGAGAGACCUAAUACAAUGGCGAGGGAUGAUUUACAUGAGUGGCGUGCACUUCACAAGACAAGAUGAGGAAUACAUACAAAGUCUGCAAACUGAGCAGGAAAGGGACACUCUGGUUCCUGAAGAGACCCCUCCUCAAAACAUCUGAUCUGGGUCCUCUGAUACCACUGCUGGCUUCCUGGAUUUGAGUCAUGUCAAAGACACUACCGAACCAGAUCUGAAACCUUACUGACAACUCUGGCAUCAAAAGUCUGGAUUGGAGAGACGCCCAGCAGUAAUAUGAUCAAUGUAUGCAGAGAAAACAUAAUGGAUGGUGCCAUGCGAGCCUUUACAAGAAGGAGUUUCAAUCCAGAGGCCAAAUUAAGCGUCAUAUUUAUGGAUGACUUCAUGCAAGCAGAAGGUUCAGUGGAUGAGGGGGGCCCUACACGGGGGUUUUUCCGACUGCUCUCAAAGAUAGCAGCCUAUUUACAGGGCCACAGUAAGAACCUGUCCCUGGACAGCCACGCAUUACACAGAGGUCUCUACAGAACCUAUGGAGUUAUGAUGGCUGUGGUGCUGCUGCAUGGAGGAGUGUUGCCUUCUCUUUCCGGAGAGGCUCUACCAAAACCUCUGCUCUACACCCACAUUACCACCCGCUCUCAAAGAGGUAGCAGAUCCAGAUUUGACUUAUGUUUUGAGGAAAAUGCUUGGACUUUCUGAAGGACUGAACACACUUGGUCUCCUGGACCUGAUGAAAAUUCACGCCAGCAUCUUGAAGGAGGUGUUUUCUUCAUCUGAGAGGCCUCUAAAGGCCACAGACUUGAUCUCCCUGUUCCAAGUGACAGUGUCCCCUCCUGGAAGCAACCGGUGGCGCCUGGAGAAGAGAGUGGAAGGAUGGUGUGUUUGAGGUCACAAUGGAGCAAAUUUUGGUGUUUGCCUCUGGAGCCGACAGAGUACCCGCUCUUGGUUUUUCUCCUCACCCAACGCUGAACUUCAUUCACGACGCAGGGCGGAAGUACCCUGAAGCUAACACCUGUCUUGUAAAUUUGAAACUUCCUAUCCAUGACACUUACAGACAGUUCGCCAAGUUUAUGUGCGAUGGCAUUAUUCACGCUCCCACUUCUGGUCUGGCUUAAAGUCACUGACAGCUAUUUUCAUAAUGGCUGAACUUUGAAUGUCCUGCCUGCUAACGUUGUUCUCAGGUGAUGAUGUUAAGAUGAUUUGAGGUAAUUGUCUACUUAGGUCUGUAGUUGAUGACCAGUGUGACACGUCCUAAUUAAAAGCUCUGAAUAAUCAACCAAAGUAGAUGAGGUUUGUUACAGAACUUGAGCAAUGCUGUUUGAAAGUGCAUCUCUACUAAGAAACUGCAGCCACGUCUCCCUAUGCUGCCAGCAAGCUAACUGCCAGGUUGUAGGCCUGGUAUUGUAGGAAAUUGGAGAUAUUUUCCACGCAGCUAAGUAAAUAACUAUUAAACAUUUAUCACUAACUACGUUUUGUAAUGUCACAUGUUUAAGUUUAACGUUUCAGCGGACAGCUUUAGGACUGUAACACAUUGGUGACUGAGUUUCCUGCCAUUAACGUUAUGACUUUUAAUUAUUAUUUUUAGUUAACGUUAUACCGGGAAGCGGAUUUUUAUUACUUGGUAGAAACCAUCGACUGUAGAGUCCCAAUUAAAGACAGGGCAACAUUUACUGUUAAUACCAUGAAACUGAGUGCCAGAUUCCCCAACCGGCCAACCCCUUUUUCUUUCAACCUCUCUGGCAUGCUCCCAUUCGAUACUGAUAUAACGUUACAUUUUAAUUAUUUUUAGGCGAUGGAACAUUAACCUUACUGACUGUGUUUUUAAAUAAUUGGCAUCUGUGCUGGAGGGGUUUCCUGACUGCUAACUGUUAGCUGUGGUGGUGGGAGGCGGCUGGUCCGGUUUGAAACGGAUCGCUGGAAUGUAUUUCCCCCCCACCCCUUCAUAAGUCAACGUGUCGUGGAAAAACAUGUUAAGAGGGACAUUGUAUGAAGGGGACAUGAACAGGACGGGCAGCUUGUCUAGGAAGUUAGUAAAUGCAGUAGCAGUUCUGACAUUAAUAAUGGAAGAGAAACUGCAGAAGUCCCAAUGAUGCGAAACUAUGAAACUGUAGUAACUUAAAACUAACUAGUUUUAAUCUGGAGGUCACACGCACCCCCCCACCCAUUCUGUAAAAUCUCUUGCACCCAAUAUCGGUCUAAUAACAACCGUGGCUCGCGCCCUGUUGGCCUCGCCAUAUCAGAUAUUUGUCCAAGGACGUCUUCAGAGGCAAACACAACCGCUCACAGCCAUGGCAGAGAUUUUUGGAUCCGACACUGCUCAACAAGGGGCUGCGGCUGCAGUUCCUGUUCUGAAUCGGCAAGAAAGAGUAAAAGUUCCUGCUAACCGAUUCGGUCCAAGCCGUGCACAGACGCGACAAGUCCAGGAUGUGGACACUCUGGCGGGACCGAUUGGUAGUCUAGCCAUAGAUAAUGUUUUGGCCAUGCCUCUGUACUGUUCCCUUGUUGUUUCCCAGUCAGUCUCUCCGUGUCAGCUAGAGGAGAUACCGGUAGACCAGACCGCUCACCUGCUGUGGAGGGGGGAGUAAUUGACCAGUUCAGCUUCAGUCUUCUUUACCCUCCUCUUGGCUCUCUUCUCCGCCUUGCAUACACCCAUUUAUAAUAACAGUGGCAUUUAUGCUCUUACAAUCCCAACUGUUCUUCUUUUUGAUGACAGUAUAUUUCUCUCUGUGUCUCAGGAUUAUACAACAGUUUCUUGCCAGUCUCUUUGCCAACUCUGGAUUCCCUAGCUUACCUCCCCUCUCAAGGACGGUAUCCUGCACUCUAAUCCAGGGGAUAAUGAAUCCCUGAGGAAUGAGAGGGUUAGAUGCCGUGAUAACACAGUUACUGGGUCAGUUGCAGAACACAGGCCCUCCUCCAGCUGAUAGAGAAGAUCUCUCCUCUCCCAUCUGUCAGUAUGAAAUGUGAAUGGCUGCAAGACAAAAUGGAUAAACUGACAGCACGUGUGUCUGAUUGCAGGUUUAGAGACAAAACUUUCCAUUUCAGUGUUCAGAAGUCUGCAGCCCAGGGGAGAUGUUUGCUGGCGCUUACUGCCUUCACUUUCCAGCAAACUGCUGUGUGCAGUGUCCAGUGCACAGAGAGAACUUCGCAGUGGGAGAGCCAUUCAGACAGCUGCCCUGUAACCACUUCUUUCAUUCAGAAUGGAUAGUACCAUGGCUGGAACUGAGGAGGUGUGCAGUGGCUUUGGACCAGCAACGGACCCCUCGGCAACCGGUCCGGACCACAAGGACCGCGUGGACCACUAGUUCAUAUUUCUACAGACGAGACAGGAGGAUGCUGGGAGAAAAGAGAGGCGGGAAGCUGAACUACCUGGUGAGGUCUGAAAAUGAAUCUGUGUCUGAUAGAUGAUUCCAGCCGUCGUCGUACUUGAAACAAGUUAGCAUAGCAUCGCCCUGACUGAGCAGAACUCCAUUUAGAAAACAAGCGUUUUAAAAGAUGUUUGCUUGUCAUCUUGAAGACAGACCUGACAGAGCAGGAAUUCAUAUGUUCAACAAAUCAGCAUCAUUUUGAUCAGUUUAUUGAAAUGAAAUCACAGCAAAAUGUUUAUUUUGGCUUCAAACCGCUGCAGGAAACCAGAUUAUUGAAUUAGAUCUGAGUGCAUAAACAGCACUUUAAUAACAUAACAUCUUUGAGUCCAACAGAUUACUGUAAGCUUCUGAUUUCCUCUGGUAACAGUUCAUGACCUGUGUACUGGAACAUAAUGACUGCUAGUAUAUUGUGCUGGAGUC
Molecule: RNA transcript, 7573 nt
Organism: Micropterus salmoides (largemouth bass)
Lineage: Eukaryota; Metazoa; Chordata; Actinopteri; Centrarchiformes; Centrarchidae
Gene name: E3 ubiquitin-protein ligase RNF115-like
Exons: 14
Source: RefSeq, a predicted model, not a curated record